GUGAAGCAGCAGUCAUGAUUUUCAUGUUCAGAAUUCCAGAGCAGGCAUCGUUAGAGCUCAUGAACAGUGCCACUUAUCUUUUGGCUCACUUUGCUGGUAUAGGAACAGCAGUCAGGCCUAUAAUUGCUCCAGCUUCCUCUGAAUCCUCUUACAGCUUCUCUGACUCCUUGCUAGUGGGCACCAGUAGCUCCUGCAGGACACCCACAUCACCAAGAUUGGAGGCAGUGAGAGCUGAGCUCACUCAUGUGUUCUCAUGUGUUCCAGCUUUUCUUUGCUCUACCCACUUUAUAUCCAUCCUCCUUUCUCAGCUGCCUGCCAUACAGAUUUCAAGCUCCAGCAUGAGACACAAAGACAACAGCUUUACAGAGACUCUUUGACCAACUCCCACACUGUACCUCCAGUACAAUGUUGAGUGAUAAAAGAUUUAUCGAUAUUUUGCUGCUGUUUUCUAAUUUAUCAAGACCCACAGGAUUACCAGAUGCUCUGAUGGUUUUUCUGCCUUCCAGCAGCUGUCCUUUGCCCAAGACUUUUAUUGCAUGUUCAGCCACAUUCCUUGAGCCCAGAAUUGUGAAAUACCCUUUGGAAAAACGUCUGCAGAAUGUUAGUUCAGCUCUCCGUCGUUUUCUCCUCUCCAGAAUCUUGACCUCUCAAGUUCUAAGUUGUUUAUCAGCUUUCCAAUACCCAUAAAGAAAUUUUAUUUGUUUUUGUUGUUGUUUUAUCCAACUUCUCUCUAGUUAUUCUGAAAGGAUGCAUUUUUCUGACAUAAGUUACUCUACCAUGCUAAAAGUAGAAGUCCCAACCACAGAGUUUUAGAGCUUCCCCUUCAGUGAAGCUAUUGAUUUUGCUUAAGGAAGUUAGAUUGCUGAAUAAGAGAAUUUCUCUCUCUUUUUUUUAAUCAAGUAUAUUAUGAUCUCUAAAUACUAACUGUAUAGUAAUUAGUGUGCCUUUUGACAAAAUGUGAAUUUAAAUUAAUUAAGAGAACUUGCCAUUUGACUAUUUUGUCAAGAAACAAAUGAGAAAAAUAAAUAUACACAAUAAAAACAAA
This is a long non-coding RNA of Globicephala melas (long-finned pilot whale), 1045 nucleotides long. RefSeq lists it as uncharacterized. Lineage: Eukaryota; Metazoa; Chordata; Mammalia; Artiodactyla; Delphinidae. The record is from RefSeq and is a predicted model, not a curated record.